CAGAACGAACGCUGGCGGCGUGCCUAACACAUGCAAGUCGAACGAGAAAGGGGCUUCGGCCCUGAGUAAAGUGGCGCACGGGUGAGUAACACGUAGGUAACCUGCCUCUAAGAUUGGGAUAACAUGUCGAAAGACGUGCUAAUACCGAAUAAGACCACAGUUUCUUCGGAAACAGGGGUCAAAGGUAGCCUCUAUUUAUAAGCAAUCACUUAGAGAUGGGCCUGCGUACCAUUAGCUAGUUGGUAGGGUAACGGCCUACCAAGGCAAAGAUGGUUAGCUGGUCUGAGAGGAUGAUCAGCCACACUGGAACUGAGACACGGUCCAGACUCCUACGGGAGGCAGCAGUGGGGAAUAUUGCGCAAUGGGCGAAAGCCUGACGCAGCAACGCCGCGUGAGUGAUGAAGGCCUUCGGGUCGUAAAGCUCUGUCGGAGGGAACGAAUGUUUCUGAGGUUAACAGCCUCAGGAAGUGACGGUACCCUCAAAGGAAGCACCGGCUAACUCUGUGCCAGCAGCCGCGGUAA
Molecule: ribosomal RNA, 522 nt
Filed under: uncultured delta proteobacterium
Lineage: Bacteria; Deltaproteobacteria
Description: bacterial SSU rRNA
Rfam family: Bacterial small subunit ribosomal RNA
Source: RNAcentral